CCUACGGGAGGCAGCAGUAGGGAAUCUUGCUCAAUGGGGGAAACCCUGACGCAGCAACGCCGCGUGGGUGAUGAAGGUUUUCGGAUUGUAAACUUCUUUUGUUAGAGAAGAUCAUGACGGUAUCUAACGAAUAAUCACCUGCUAACUUCGUGCCAGCAGCCGCGGUAUUACGGAGGGUGCAAGCGUUCCUCGGAAUCACUGGGCGUAACGAUCGCGUAGGCGGGAUAGCAAGUCAGAUGUGAAAGCCUAUGGCUUAACCAGAGAAGUGCAUUUGAAACUGGUAUUCUAGAGUAUGGAAGAGGUAGGUGGAAUUCUAGGUGUAGGGGUAAAAUCCGUAGAGAUAAAGAGGAAUACUCGUUGCGAAGGCGACCUGCUAGAACGUAACUGACGCUGAUGCGCGAAAGCGUGGGGAGCAAACAGGAUUAGAUACCCGGGUAGUC
Molecule: ribosomal RNA, 440 nt
Filed under: uncultured bacterium
Lineage: Bacteria
Description: partial 16S ribosomal RNA
Rfam family: Bacterial small subunit ribosomal RNA
Source: RNAcentral